GUUUGCUCUGUCUUCCACACUGAAGCUCUCGGAGUUCACAUUCUUCUAACAAAUCUCAAUGAGAUUCUUCAUUUCUGUAAAGAUGCCAAAAGGCUUGCUGGCUUUCAGGGAAACUUUCAGCAUCAUCCAUCGUCUAUGUGAAUGCAUACUCGUGCAAUUAUUUUCUCGCUGCUGCAGGAGAAGACAAUGGGAAGCCACCGGCAGGAGCUACAGACCACGCCUGGCUAAGGCUGCAAAGCCUGCUUUGUAGCAGGACCAACUGGCAUCAUUUUAGAAGUUCCUCCAGCCGUGUUUGGCAGCCUGGGAGCAGGAACAGAGAUAAUGAGUGGUUGGCUUUCCUCAGGGCCAGGGAUUUGUGGCAGAAAAUCAAGGG
RNAcentral lists this long non-coding RNA (373 nucleotides) under Fukomys damarensis (Damara mole-rat). RNAcentral's name for it is "lncRNA (ENSFDAG00000024714.1)". Lineage: Eukaryota; Metazoa; Chordata; Mammalia; Rodentia; Bathyergidae. The record is from RNAcentral.